RNAcentral lists this ribosomal RNA (901 nucleotides) under uncultured bacterium. Its description in RNAcentral is "bacterial SSU rRNA". It matches the Rfam family "Bacterial small subunit ribosomal RNA", at positions 8 to 916 of the family's 1533-position model. The record is from RNAcentral.
AGAGUUUGAUCAUGGCUCAGGACGAACGCUGGCGGCGUGCUAACACAUGCAAGUCGAACGAAGAUAUAGAGUAGCUUGCUACGAAAUAUCUUAGUGGCGGACGGGUGAGUAACGCGUGGGCAACCUGCCUUACAGAGGGGGAUAACAGUGCGAAAGCACUGCUAAUACCGCAUAACAUCAACUUAUCGCAUGAUAAGAUGAUCAAAGGAGUAAUCCGCUGUAAGAUGGGCCCGCGUCUGAUUAGCUAGUUGGUGAGGUAAAAGCUCACCAAGGCGACGAUCAGUAGCCGAUCUGAGAGGAUGAACGGCCACACUGGAACUGAGACACGGUCCAGACUCCUACGGGAGGCAGCAGUGGGGAAUAUUGCACAAUGGGGGAAACCCUGAUGCAGCAACGCCGCGUGGAGGACGAAGGCCUUCGGGUUGUAAACUCCUGUCUUUUGGGACGAAUAAAUGACGGUACCAAAGGAGGAAGCCACGGCUAACUACGUGCCAGCAGCCGCGGUAAUACGUAGGUGGCAAGCGUUGUCCGGAAUUAUUGGGCGUAAAGGGCGCGUAGGCGGCGUCUUAAGUCAGAUGUGAAAACCCCGGGCUCAACUUGGGAACUGCAUCUGAUACUGGGACGCUAGAGUGCAGGAGAGGUAAGUGGAAUUCCUAGUGUAGCGGUGAAAUGCGUAGAUAUUAGGAGGAACACCAGUGGCGAAGGCGACUUACUGGACUGUAACUGACGCUGAGGCGCGAAAGCGUGGGGAGCAAACAGGAUUAGAUACCCUGGUAGUCCACGCUGUAAACGAUGGAUACUAGGUGUGGGAGGUAUCGACCCCUUCCGUGCCGCAGUAAACGCAAUAAGUAUCCCGCCUGGGGAGUACGGCCGCAAGGUUGAAACUCAAAUGAAUUGACGG